RNAcentral lists this ribosomal RNA (468 nucleotides) under uncultured bacterium. Its description in RNAcentral is "partial 16S ribosomal RNA". It matches the Rfam family "Bacterial small subunit ribosomal RNA", at positions 28 to 507 of the family's 1533-position model. The record is from RNAcentral.
GACGAACGCUGGCGGCGUGCUUAACACAUGCAAGUCGAACGGAAAGGCCCUGCUUUUGUGGGGUGCUCGAGUGGCGAACGGGUGAGUAACACGUGAGUAACCUGCCCUUGACUUUGGUAUAACUUCAGGAAACUGGGGCUAAUACCGGAUAGGAGCUCCUGCUGCAUGGUGGGGGUUGGAAAGUUUCGGCGGUUGGGGAUGGACUCGCGGCUUAUCAGCUUGUUGGUGGGGUAGUGGCUUACCAAGGCUUUGACGGGUAGCCGGCCUGAGAGGGUGACCGGCCACAUUGGGACUGAGAUACGGCCCAGACUCCUACGGGAGGCAGCAGUGGGGAAUAUUGCACAAUGGGCGGAAGCCUGAUGCAGCAACGCCGCGUGCGGGAUGACGGCCUUCGGGUUGUAAACCGCUUUCGCCUGUGACGAAGCGUGAGUGACGGUAAUGAGUAAAGAAGCACCGGCUAACUACGUG